This 400-nucleotide ribosomal RNA is filed under the name uncultured eukaryote. RNAcentral describes it as "bacterial SSU rRNA". It matches the Rfam family "Eukaryotic small subunit ribosomal RNA", at positions 82 to 482 of the family's 1831-position model. The record is from RNAcentral.
UGAAUCUGCGAAUGGCUCAUUACAUCAGUCAUUGUUUAUUUGAUGGUACCUUACUACUUGGAUAACCGUAGUAAUUCUAGAGCUAAUACAUGCGUCAGCCCUGACUUUCGUGGAAAGGGUGCAUUUAUUAGAUUCAAACCAUCGGCUUCACGGCCUUUGAUGGUGAGUCAUAAUAACUCAGCGAAUCGGAUGUGCUUUAUGCCGCCGAUACAUCAUUCAAAUUUCUGCCCUAUCAGCUUUCGAUGGUAGGAUCUUGGCCUACCAUGGCUAUCACGGGUAACGGGGAAUUAGGGUUCGAUUCCGGAGAGGGAGCUUGAGAAACGGCUACCACAUCCAAGGAUGGCAGCAGGCGCGCAAAUUACCCAAUCCCGACACGGGGAGGUAGUGACGAUAAAUAGCG